This is a small nucleolar RNA of Oryctolagus cuniculus (rabbit), 132 nucleotides long. The record is from Ensembl. Lineage: Eukaryota; Metazoa; Chordata; Mammalia; Lagomorpha; Leporidae.
CUUGCCAUUUACUUGCUACUUGAUCUCUCAAUGCUAUGAGCAGUUAUAUACAUGGGAUAAAAUAGUAUCGGGCCAUUGUAAAUGGAGAUGAAGUAGUAACAGUGUCAUCUCUCCUAUGUGGUCUGCACAUUG